This 485-nucleotide ribosomal RNA is filed under the name uncultured bacterium. RNAcentral describes it as "partial 16S ribosomal RNA". It matches the Rfam family "Bacterial small subunit ribosomal RNA", at positions 30 to 507 of the family's 1533-position model. The record is from RNAcentral.
UUGAACGCUGGCGGCAUGCCUUACCCCUGCAAGUCGAACGGCAGCACGGGUGCUUGCACCUGGUGGCGAGUGGCGAACGGGUGAGUAAUACAUCGGAACAUGUCCUGUAGUGGGGGAUAGCCCGGCGAAAGCCGGAUUAAUACCGCAUACGAUCUACGGAUGAAAGCGGGGGACCUUCGGGCCUCGCGCUAUAGGGUUGGCCGAUGGCUGAUUAGCUAGUUGGUGGGGUAAAGGCCUACCAAGGCGACGAUCAGUAGCUGGUCUGAGAGGACGACCAGCCACACUGGGACUGAGACACGGCCCAGACUCCUACGGGAGGCAGCAGUGGGGAAUUUUGGACAAUGGGCGAAAGCCUGAUCCAGCAAUGCCGCGUGUGUGAAGAAGGCCUUCGGGUUGUAAAGCACUUUUGUCCGGAAAGAAAUCCUUGGCCCUAAUACGGUCGGGGGAUGACGGUACCGGAAGAAUAAGCACCGGCUAACUACGUG